UACGAACCGUCCAAACGUUAUUCGGAUUCAUUGGGCUUAAAGGGUACGUAGGCGGCGCUAUCAGUCGGGUGUGAAAUUCCUCGGCUCAACCGAGGAACUGCGCCCGAUACUGUAGUGCUUGAGGGAGACAGAGGUAAGCGGAACUGAUGGUGGAGCGGUGAAAUGCGUUGAUAUCAUCAGGAACACCGGUGGCGAAAGCGGCUUACUGGGUCUCUUCUGACGCUGAGGUACGAAAGCUAGGGGAGCGAACGGG
RNAcentral lists this ribosomal RNA (253 nucleotides) under uncultured bacterium. RNAcentral's name for it is "partial 16S ribosomal RNA". It matches the Rfam family "Bacterial small subunit ribosomal RNA", at positions 524 to 776 of the family's 1533-position model. The record is from RNAcentral.